CCACACAUUCAACACCACUUCUCUCCCUUCUCCUUCUUCCUUUGUUUUGGCAGCCAAUAACCACCACCAUACCACCACCCUCACAUCAUCUUUCAAGCAAUCUACACUCACCCAAAGGUGCAAGAGGUCCUCCAACGAAGCUCGGUGCGUUCGGAAGUGGAAGGACCUUCUCCAUUUGCUAUUAACCACCACUUUUCUACACUCGAACUUCCCUAGCCUUGAGCUAGUGGACGUGAUUGACCGACCUUGACUGUUAGCGAUAUUUGAGAAUCUAACCGAGCAAACCAAGGUGAGUUCACACUUUUCUACAAAGCAUGGUCGUUAGAUGAUAUGGAGCUUGCACAAGGAGGAGGUCGUUCUGGGAUGCGAACUGAUAUGUCCCGUACCUAAUAAAUAAACCCUAUGAACUUAUGAAACUUAUGUUUUGGACUUUAAAACUUAUGAACUAUGAACUUAUGUUUUGGUUUAACGUCUUAUGCUUCCGCUGUUUAAGUUGAACUUGGUUAACUAGCUUUUGGUCACCAAUUGUAUUGUGGUUGGUUUUAUUUACUUAAAUACGUUGUUCAAUAUGAUUGGUGGCUCGAUCCUGGUCAUGUCACGCCUCCAAGCGGUGGUACUCCGCAUGGUGGAUUUUGGGGGUGUGACAGAUUGGUAUCAGAGCCAUUGGUUAUAGUGAACUUGGUUU
This 685-nucleotide long non-coding RNA is filed under the name Helianthus annuus (common sunflower). Its description in RNAcentral is "hypothetical non coding rna". The record is from RNAcentral. Lineage: Eukaryota; Viridiplantae; Streptophyta; Magnoliopsida; Asterales; Asteraceae.